AUCUGGGCGGCGAAAUUCAGAAUGACUGGCUGGACUCGUUCCUGUCCGGUCGUUUGAUAUUUUCGUCGCUGUAUCAGACGUCGCGAUCUGUUUGUUGUCGGUCCCUGCUCGGAAGAGUCGCAAUCGAGUUUGUUGUUGGUGCGUUUCGGCGUGCCAUACGGCAAAGAUGCGAAUCUCUGGCUGACAACGGACAGUAAGCAAUGGUGACUGAUGCUGUGUCAUGUACGCAGUGUUGGUACCGAUCUGCGACGAUCUCUUCGGGCCUCUUUCCGACCCGUCUUGAAACACGGACCAAGGAGUCUAACAUGCGCGCGAGUCGCGGGGUAUCGAGCGCACUACGGUGCGUUCGUUCAUUAUGAAACCCGUGCUUGAAGGCGUAAUGAAAGUAAACAGGGAAGAUGGUGUUCCGAGUAUACGUACCGUGAAAUUUCGCGGCCGGACACCCGCAUUCCCGGGGCGUCUCAAUGGCUCAUCGCGAAUGCGGACUGUCGUCUUUCGGGGCGAUAGUCGGUUUGCGAUGGUCCGA
RNAcentral lists this ribosomal RNA (526 nucleotides) under Lepidosaphes laterochitinosa. RNAcentral's name for it is "eukaryotic LSU rRNA". The record is from RNAcentral. Lineage: Eukaryota; Metazoa; Arthropoda; Insecta; Hemiptera; Diaspididae.